CAGUAGCCACGGGAAUACGAAGGGGGCUAGCGUUGUUCGGAAUCACUGGGCGUAAAGGGUGCGUAGGCGGGAUCCUAAGUCAGGGGUGAAAUCCCGAGGCUCAACCUCGGAACUGCCUUUGAUACUGGGGUCCUUGAGUCCGGAAGAGGUGAGUGGAACUGCGAGUGUAGAGGUGAAAUUCGUAGAUAUUCGCAAGAACACCGGUGGCGGAGGCGGCUCACUGGUCCGGAACUGACGCUGAGGCACGACAGCGUGGGGAGCAAACAGGAUUAGAUACCCCUGUAGUCCCUGUCUCUUAUAC
RNAcentral lists this ribosomal RNA (301 nucleotides) under uncultured bacterium. Its description in RNAcentral is "partial 16S ribosomal RNA". It matches the Rfam family "Bacterial small subunit ribosomal RNA", at positions 509 to 807 of the family's 1533-position model. The record is from RNAcentral.